Molecule: ribosomal RNA, 103 nt
Filed under: Escherichia coli
Lineage: Bacteria; Pseudomonadati; Pseudomonadota; Gammaproteobacteria; Enterobacterales; Enterobacteriaceae
Also listed under: 173 other names
Description: partial 23S ribosomal RNA
Rfam family: Bacterial large subunit ribosomal RNA
Source: RNAcentral
UCUCCUGAAGGAACGUUGAAGACGACGACGUUGAUAGGCCGGGUGUGUAAGCGCAGCGAUGCGUUGAGCUAACCGGUACUAAUGAACCGUGAGGCUUAACCUU